GACGAACCGUGCGAACGUUGUUCGGAAUCACUGGGCUUAAAGGGCGCGUAGGCGGGCUGGCCAGUCAGGGGUGAAAGCCCACGGCUCAACCGUGGAAGUGCCUUUGAUACUGCCAGUCUGGAGGGAAGUAGGGGCGUGCGGAACUUCCGGUGGAGCGGUGAAAUGCGUUGAUAUCGGAAGGAACGCCGGUGGCGAAAGCGGCGUGCUGGACCUUUACUGACGCUGAGGCGCGAAAGCCAGGGGAGCGAACGGG
This 253-nucleotide ribosomal RNA is filed under the name uncultured prokaryote. RNAcentral describes it as "partial 16S ribosomal RNA". It matches the Rfam family "Bacterial small subunit ribosomal RNA", at positions 524 to 776 of the family's 1533-position model. The record is from RNAcentral.